UACGGAGGAUGCGAGCGUUAUCCGGAUUUAUUGGGUUUAAAGGGUGCGUAGGCGGCCUUUUAAGUCAGCGGUGAAAGUCUGUGGCUCAACCAUAGAAUUGCCGUUGAAACUGGGGGGCUUGAGUAUGUUUGAGGCAGGCGGAAUGCGUGGUGUAGCGGUGAAAUGCGUAGAUAUUAGGAAGAACACCGGUGGCGAAGGCGACUUUCUGGACUGUACCUGACGCUGAGGCGCGAAAGCGUGGGUAGCGAACGGG
RNAcentral lists this ribosomal RNA (253 nucleotides) under uncultured Parabacteroides sp. RNAcentral describes it as "partial 16S ribosomal RNA". It matches the Rfam family "Bacterial small subunit ribosomal RNA", at positions 524 to 776 of the family's 1533-position model. Lineage: Bacteria; Pseudomonadati; Bacteroidota; Bacteroidia; Bacteroidales; Tannerellaceae. The record is from RNAcentral.